Molecule: ribosomal RNA, 484 nt
Filed under: uncultured bacterium
Lineage: Bacteria
Description: partial 16S ribosomal RNA
Rfam family: Bacterial small subunit ribosomal RNA
Source: RNAcentral
AUUGAACGCUGGCGGAAUGCUUUACACAUGCAAGUCGAGCGGCAGCACGGGGGCAACCCUGGUGGCGAGCGGCGAACGGGUGAGAAAUACAUCGGACUAUGCCCACUAGCGGGCGAUAACACCUCGAAAGAAGUGCUAAUACCCCAUACGUCCUGCGGGGGAAAGCGGGUGAUCACGGGACCUCGCGCCCUUGUAGUCCCCGAUGUCAGAUUAGCUAGUUGGUGGGGUAAAGGCCCACCAAGGCAACGAUCUGUAGCUGGUCUGAGAGGAUGAUCAGCCACACUGGGACUGAGACACGGCCCAGACUCCUACGGGAGGCAGCAGUGGGGAAUUUUGGACAAUGGGGGCAACCCUGAUCCAGCCAUGCCGCGUGAGUGAAGAAGGCCUUCGGGUUGUAAAGCUCUUUCGGCAGGAACGAAACGGUGAGCUCUAACACCGCGUGCUAAUGACGGUACCUGAAGAAGAAGCACCGGCUAACUACGUG